AACGGCCAUACCAUGCUGAAAACACUGGUUCUCGUCCGAUCACCGCAGUUGUGCAUCGUUGGGUGCAGUCAGUACUUAGGAGGGUGACCACCUGGGAACACCGUGUGCCGUU
RNAcentral lists this ribosomal RNA (112 nucleotides) under Nephila pilipes (giant wood spider). Lineage: Eukaryota; Metazoa; Arthropoda; Arachnida; Araneae; Nephilidae. The record is from RNAcentral.